UCCUGACGCAGCGGGAGACCUGUCACAGCACCUAAUCUGUGCAGCCACACCGCUUCAUGAGCAGGGACCAGGCUCUGCGCAGGGAUCCAGGCAAAAUCCACACCACCGGCUUGUGGAUUACCUUCUCUCCUUUGAAUUCACCUUGCAUUUUAUUCAUGUUUUACUUACUGCUAUUUCUCGACCCUUUGGGUCACUUCUCCAGCCCCCCGCCCCAAAGAGUUCACAUGUGCUCCUCACGUCCGUUAGUGCUGGGCUGCCUCAGUGCAUCUGCCCAGCCUGAACCUGCAGCAUAGCUGCACUCCAGGGACUCCUUUCACUACAAUUCACUUGCCCCUGCCUGCUUGCCUAGUUGCUUCCCAUCUGGGAUGGGAUAAUCCUGCCCUCACAGCCCCUCUCUGCCCUAGCUGCUCAGACUCCCUCUGCAGCCAUUUCUUUAUUUGCUAGGUUUAUAUGCUACCUGUCUCAAAAAGGCCAGAGUGGCUAACAAUAUGAGGGGCGAAGAACAACAGAAACAGAAUAAAACAUUAACAUAAGAACAACCAGCCCACCCUACUUGGAGAAGAAA
Molecule: long non-coding RNA, 565 nt
Organism: Gavialis gangeticus (Gharial)
Lineage: Eukaryota; Metazoa; Chordata; Crocodylia; Gavialidae
Exons: 3
Source: RefSeq, a predicted model, not a curated record